Transfer RNA from Lobosporangium transversale, 72 nucleotides. It matches the Rfam family "tRNA". From Rfam's summary of the family: Transfer RNA (tRNA) molecules are approximately 80 nucleotides in length. Their secondary structure includes four short double-helical elements and three loops (D, anti-codon, and T loops). NCBI's taxonomy places the organism in Eukaryota, Fungi, Mortierellomycota, Mortierellomycetes, Mortierellales, Mortierellaceae. The record is from Rfam.
UCCUAGUUGGUCCAGUGGUCAGGAUUUGUCGCUCUCACCGACAAGGCCCGGGUUCGAUCCCCGGACUGGGAA